UCCAUUCUCCACGUCCCACCUGUGCACCUUCCGUAGGGCCGUCAAGCCCCUCCGGGGGGAGGGAGGCAAACCUUUUUUUUUGUUUGCCCCUUUGCUUUUCGGCUCUGCGAGCUCUUUUGUAUAUACACCCUUGAGAAAAACGCGUUGCAGAGUGUUCUUGUACAAAGGGGGACCCUCACCGGCCCCAUAGACAAUACCAAUACAACUUUCAACAACGGAUCUCUUGGCUCUCGCAUCGAUGAAGAACGCAGCGAAAUGCGAUAAGUAAUGUGAAUUGCAGAAUUCAGUGAAUCAUCGAAUCUUUGAACGCACCUUGCGCUCUUUGGCCAUUCCGAAGAGCAUGCCUGUUUGAGUGUCAUUGAAUCCUCAAGCCCCGCCUGGCCCCUCCGGGCUUUCGGCGGCUUGGAGUUGGGAGCCUUGCGGGUCGCUAGCCCUUGCGAUCCGCUCUCCUCAAAGGCAUCAGCAGGGCCCAGUCGCGGUCGGCCUCACGGCGUUGAUAGUCCAUCUACGCCCCCGCGGUCGCACUCAGCGUGGCCCGGCUUCGAACCGGACGAGACCUGUCACGGUCUUUUGCCCCUUUGACACCCUUGACCUUCAAUCAGGUAGGACUACCCGCUGAACUU
This 623-nucleotide ribosomal RNA is filed under the name Volvariella bombycina. RNAcentral describes it as "eukaryotic LSU rRNA". The stretch from base 204 to 358 matches the Rfam family "5.8S ribosomal RNA". The record is from RNAcentral. Lineage: Eukaryota; Fungi; Basidiomycota; Agaricomycetes; Agaricales; Pluteaceae.